Ribosomal RNA from Oryza sativa Japonica Group (Japanese rice), 119 nucleotides. NCBI's taxonomy places the organism in Eukaryota, Viridiplantae, Streptophyta, Magnoliopsida, Poales, Poaceae. The record is from Rfam.
GGAUGCGAUCAUACCAGCACUAAAGCACCGGAUCCCAUCAGAACUCCGAAGUUAAGCGUGCUUGGGUGAGAGUAGGACUAGGAUGGGUGACCUCCUGGGAAGUCCUCGUGUUGCAUCCC